AACGCACAUUGCGCCCUCUGGUAUUCCGGAGGGCAUGCCUGUUUGAGUGUCAUUAAUCUCUCCCGUCGACGGUCCCUAGUGGACGGCCGAUGUCGGUGUUGGGAUCUGCGGGUGGUCACCUCGACCGCGCGCUCUCCUCAAAUGCAUUGGUGUGGCCCGCCGCCCGGUCCCACAACGUUCUAGGUACGUCCAACUCGUUGUAUGUCCGGCGCAUAUCCUGGCGCUGCACCUAAAGCCCGGCCGGUGCAUCUCUGCUCCGUGCCAACAACCUCAUUUAUUGACCUCAGAUCAGGUAGGAAUACGCGCUGAACUUAA
RNAcentral lists this unclassified non-coding RNA (315 nucleotides) under uncultured fungus. RNAcentral describes it as "partial contains 5.8S ribosomal RNA, internal transcribed spacer 2, and large subunit ribosomal RNA". The stretch from base 1 to 52 matches the Rfam family "5.8S ribosomal RNA", at positions 103 to 154 of the family's 154-position model. Lineage: Eukaryota; Fungi. The record is from RNAcentral.